AAUACCGUAUACGCCCUUCGGGGGAAAGAAUUUCGGUGAGGGAUCGGCCCGCGUUAGAUUAGUUAGUUGGUGGGGUAAUGGCCUACCAAGACUACGAUCUAUAGCUGGUUUGAGAGGAUGAUCAGCAACACUGGGACUGAGACACGGCCCAGACUCCUACGGGAGGCAGCAGUGGGGAAUCUUAGACAAUGGGGGCAACCCUGAUCUAGCGAUGCCGCGUGAGUGAUGAAGGCCUUAGGGUCGUAAAGCUCUUUCGCCUGUGAUGAUAAUGACAGUAGCAGGUAAAGAAACCCCGGCUAACUCCGUGCCAGCAGCCGCGGUAAUACGGAGGGGGUUAGCGUUGUUCGGAAUUACUGGGCGUAAAGCGCACGUAGGCGGAUUAGUCAGUCAGAGGUGAAAUCCCAGGGCUCAACCCUGGAACUGCCUUUGAUACUGCUAGUCUUGAGUUCGAGAGAGGUAAGUGGAAUUCCGAGUGUAGAGGUGAAAUUCGUAGAUAUUCGGAGGAACACCAGUGGCGAAGGCGGCUUACUGGCUCGAUACUGACGCUGAGGUGCGAAAGUGUGGGGAGCAAACAGGAUUAGAUACCCUGGUAGUCCACACCGUAAACGAUGAAUGCCAGUCGUCGGGUAGCAUGCUAUUCGGUGACACACCUAACGGAUUAAGCAUUCCGCCUGGUGAGUACGGUCGCACGAUUAAAACUCCAAGGAAUUGACGGGGGGCCC
This 722-nucleotide ribosomal RNA is filed under the name Celeribacter sp. RNAcentral describes it as "bacterial SSU rRNA". It matches the Rfam family "Bacterial small subunit ribosomal RNA", at positions 165 to 923 of the family's 1533-position model. Lineage: Bacteria; Pseudomonadati; Pseudomonadota; Alphaproteobacteria; Rhodobacterales; Roseobacteraceae. The record is from RNAcentral.